GGUGGCUCAGUGGCAGAGCACUUGCCUCACAUGCAUGAAGCCCUGGGUUCCAUUCCUCAGCACCA
This 65-nucleotide transfer RNA is filed under the name Dipodomys ordii (Ord's kangaroo rat). It matches the Rfam family "tRNA". Rfam says of the family: Transfer RNA (tRNA) molecules are approximately 80 nucleotides in length. Their secondary structure includes four short double-helical elements and three loops (D, anti-codon, and T loops). Further hydrogen bonds mediate the characteristic L-shaped molecular structure. tRNAs have two regions of fundamental functional importance: the anti-codon, which is responsible for specific mRNA codon recognition, and the 3' end, to which the tRNAs corresponding amino acid is attached (by aminoacyl-tRNA synthetases). tRNAs cope with the degeneracy of the genetic code in two manners: having more than one tRNA (with a specific anti-codon) for a particular amino acid; and 'wobble' base-pairing, i.e. permitting non-standard base-pairing at the 3rd anti-codon position. The record is from Rfam by way of RNAcentral. Lineage: Eukaryota; Metazoa; Chordata; Mammalia; Rodentia; Heteromyidae.